This 201-nucleotide unclassified non-coding RNA is filed under the name plant metagenome. Its description in RNAcentral is "partial contains small subunit ribosomal RNA, internal transcribed spacer 1, and 5.8S ribosomal RNA". The record is from RNAcentral.
UCUCCGUUGGUGAACCAGCGGAGGGAUCAUUAUCGAGUUUAUAACUCCCAAACCCUAUGUGAACUUACCUCUUGUUGCUUCGGCGCGCGCUUCGGCGCCGCCGAGGACACUUAAACUCUUUGUUUUUAUAAGCAUUUCUGAGUGGCCGAAAGGCAAAAUACAAAUGAAUCAAAACUUUCAACAACGGAUCUCUUGGUUCUG